AUAAUCACUUGCCUUAUAAUUGAAGGCUUGUAUGAACGGUUUGACAAGAAUAAAGCUGUCUCUUUUUAAAUUCACAAAAUUUAAUUUUUAGGUGAAGAAGCCUAAAUAAAAUUGAAAGACAAGAAGACCCUAUCGAGCUUAAAACUUCUUUAUUAAAUAAUAGUAAAAUUAAAAUUUAAUAAAAAUUUUUAGUUGGGGCGACUGAGGAACAAAAAAGCUUCCUUUAAUCAAUUUUAAGCACAUAAGUUUUGAUCCAAAAUUUUUGAUUAAAAAACUUAGUUACCGUAGGGAUAACAGCAUAAUUUUUCUUGAGAGUUCAUAUCGAAAGAAAAGUUUGU
RNAcentral lists this ribosomal RNA (338 nucleotides) under Pyrgophorus platyrachis. RNAcentral describes it as "partial 16S ribosomal RNA". Lineage: Eukaryota; Metazoa; Mollusca; Gastropoda; Littorinimorpha; Cochliopidae. The record is from RNAcentral.